CCUACGGGGGGCUGCAGUGGGGAAUAUUGGGCAAUGGGGGGAACCCUGAUCCAGCCAUGCCGCGUGUGUGAAGAAGGCCCUCGGGUUGUAAAGCACUUUCAGUGAGGAAGAACGCCUGGUGGUUAAUACCCAUCAGGAAAGACAUCACUCACAGAAGAAGCACCGGCUAACUCCGUGCCAGCAGCCGCGGUAAUACGGAGGGUGCGAGCGUUAAUCGGAAUUACUGGGCGUAAAGCGCGCGUAGGUGGCUUGAUAAGCCGGUUGUGAAAGCCCCGGGCUCAACCUGGGAACGGCAUCCGGAACUGUCAAGCUAGAGUGCAGGAGAGGAAGGUAGAAUUCCCGGUGUAGCGGUGAAAUGCGUAGAGAUCGGGAGGAAUACCAGUGGCGAAGGCGGCCUUCUGGACUGACACUGACACUGAGGUGCGAAAGCGUGGGUAGCAAACAGGAUUAGAUACCCGAGUAGUC
RNAcentral lists this ribosomal RNA (465 nucleotides) under Vreelandella stevensii. RNAcentral's name for it is "partial 16S ribosomal RNA". It matches the Rfam family "Bacterial small subunit ribosomal RNA", at positions 338 to 795 of the family's 1533-position model. The record is from RNAcentral. Lineage: Bacteria; Pseudomonadati; Pseudomonadota; Gammaproteobacteria; Oceanospirillales; Halomonadaceae.